GGUCAGAUGGCAGAGUGGUCGAAUGCGAUGGUUUGCAAAACCAUUAUUCCACGCGCCGGUUCGAAUCCGGCUCUGACCUCCA
Molecule: transfer RNA, 82 nt
Filed under: Bacteriovorax sp. MedPE-SWde
Lineage: Bacteria; Pseudomonadati; Bdellovibrionota; Bacteriovoracia; Bacteriovoracales; Bacteriovoracaceae
Description: tRNA-Cys
Rfam family: tRNA
About the family: Transfer RNA (tRNA) molecules are approximately 80 nucleotides in length. Their secondary structure includes four short double-helical elements and three loops (D, anti-codon, and T loops).
Source: RNAcentral